RNAcentral lists this ribosomal RNA (82 nucleotides) under Salvator merianae (Argentine black and white tegu). Lineage: Eukaryota; Metazoa; Chordata; Lepidosauria; Squamata; Teiidae. The record is from RNAcentral.
UAGCAAAUCUCAGCUGAGUUCAGGAGCUGUCAGGCUUGGUUAGAACUUGGAUGGGAAACUGCCUGGGAAUAUCAAGUACUAU